Triticum dicoccoides is the source of this 260-nucleotide long non-coding RNA. RefSeq lists it as uncharacterized. Lineage: Eukaryota; Viridiplantae; Streptophyta; Magnoliopsida; Poales; Poaceae. The transcript is spliced from 3 exons. The record is from RefSeq and is a predicted model, not a curated record.
GGAUUGCAAAAUCAGAUCCAUCUCAGAAGCUGGAUGGAGUAUCCGCAGAGGUGCAGGUAUCUGAUGCAUCUGAAAAGUUCACUCAACCAGCCUGACGGAGGAGAACUAGCUGCUAGUUCAUCAAGGAGUGUCUGCAGUGGUUGGGCAGCGGACGGCGCGUGCAAACGAGGAACUGCAAGCGGAGAAGAUAGGGGAUGGAUGUAUAUCGCGAGGAAGAAGAUGGGUAGACUGGUGGUGGGUGCUGGUCCGCAAUAAAUGGU